GGAGAGGUACCCAAGUGGCUGAAGGGGCGGCUUUGCUAAAGCCGUAGCAGGUUCGCCUGGCGGGGGUUCGAAUCCCCCUCUCUCCG
Molecule: transfer RNA, 86 nt
Filed under: Candidatus Dojkabacteria bacterium
Lineage: Bacteria
Description: tRNA-Ser
Rfam family: tRNA
About the family: Transfer RNA (tRNA) molecules are approximately 80 nucleotides in length. Their secondary structure includes four short double-helical elements and three loops (D, anti-codon, and T loops).
Source: RNAcentral